CGCUGAACCGCCUGAGGGAGGGGUGCGGAAGGUCAGACAGGGGACCAGAGGGAGCAUCAACCGAUACAGGACACUUGAAAGCGAUUCAACAAGAGAGGACUUGCUGGAGCCCAGAGAGAGACUGAGCUUGGCUUAAAAGGACAACUGUGAGGUGGCUGAGGUGAGAUGGAUCUCACAGACACACAGACAGACUGUCCUACAGCUGAGAGAGGAGUCGACUCUGGCUCGCUGCACGUCUAGGUGCCGCACGUCUACAGGAUGCUGAGUUCCUGUGAGCUGGACUGACUCGAGUCCUGAUGGUUCUGCAAUGUGAUGGAGAAGGCAACCUCCGACCGAGAGGAUGGAGGUGUAGGAAAGAUCUACUGCACAACAUCAUGCUACGCUGAUUGGGUCCAUACCAGGUACAUCUCAUCUGCUGUCCAGGUAGCUGAGAGAGGAACCUGGGGUCGACGACACGCUACACGAGGAUUGCAGUGUUUGAAGGUUAGACGCAGUGAAUUGAAGUCACUAAGGGAAAAGUGAAUUUUCUGGUGCUCGUAACCAGUCACUUUCUACAUGGCCUUUAGCUCUAGAACCUUUAGCUAAAACUGGUCAUCUUGGAAUUCACAAGGGAGAACACACAGAUUCUCCUGGCCUGGCUGAUAAAGCAGCUAGAAUGGAGACAACAAGAGCUGUGUCUGCAUUUGAGCUGUGAAGGACAACACCUUGGAAUAUACGUCUGACUUUUUCGUUCUGUUACAUCGGCCUGUCAAAGAAAUGGUUCAUAACUGACUGUCUGACGUUUGAAGGAGCAGAACAUUUGUGAUGACUUUGGAAGAACAUCCAAAUGGAACCAUGGAGAGGACAUUUCAGUGAAUUGAGCAAUUGGCAUGAGAGAACAUUGUAACAGUGAUAAAUUGAAGGAUGCAUUCAGUGAUAGGUGUUUAUGAUGAUUUUAACAUAAAAGUUUUGCUGUACUAUGUUAUGAUUCUGUAUGAUGACAAUGUGUGAUCUUGGUGUUUAUACGAAAGGUAAUGAUCUAGAAGAAUGUAAAUGAGGAUCCAGACAUUUCAGUUUGCUCAGUUCUCUAAUCACUAAGGAUAAUAAUAUUGACUGGGUCAUGUUGUUAAAGAGUACUGUUUUGUUGCAGUCUACAUCCUAAUGAGUGAACUGUUUAAGGUUUGAUACCAAGGUUUGACAUGGUAUCAAGAGGAUGGAUUGUUGUGGAAAUUUCUUAUACAAUGUAUUCUGAUUGUAUAAAGGAGUGAGUCCCACUGUUAAGAUAGGUACAGGAAUGUGUGGGACCUGGUAUUUGCAUAGGGGACAUCUAUUGUCUGUCCAGAUGGAGAUCAAUGGGUUUUAGGACAGGAUAGGAGAAGAUAUACAACAGGGGGAGUAAGGUCAGUUUGCCCCUUUGGGUAAACAUUAUUGCAGGAAGGAUAAGGUGGGGGAAGAUAGCAUUUGACGUGUGUGAUAGAACAAAGGGAAAGGUGUUUGAUUGACAUGAAACAGAUGGCAGCAUCUAACCACACCCCUUCUUCCUAUGUAAUAAAUACUGUCGAAAUGAUGUUUUUAUUUAGAAACUAUCCACCGUUACUUUGUAACCUGUAUACUUUCUCCUUGCAAGCAAGAUUAAAACCGUUUAUUGCGCAAUUGAUUUCUCCUGUCUUACCUACCAUUUUCAUAGAACU
Esox lucius (northern pike) is the source of this 1670-nucleotide long non-coding RNA. The record is from Ensembl. NCBI's taxonomy places the organism in Eukaryota, Metazoa, Chordata, Actinopteri, Esociformes, Esocidae.